This 403-nucleotide ribosomal RNA is filed under the name uncultured microorganism. RNAcentral's name for it is "bacterial SSU rRNA". It matches the Rfam family "Archaeal small subunit ribosomal RNA", at positions 330 to 735 of the family's 1478-position model. The record is from RNAcentral.
GCGCACCAGUCGCGAAACCUCCGCAAUACACGAAAGUGUGACGGGCCAUCCCGAGUGCCGUCCGCUGAGGACGGCUUUUCCCCAGUGUACAUAGCUGGGGGAAUAAGGAGAGGGCAAGCCUGGUGUCAGCCGCCGCGGUAAUACCAGCUCUCCGAGUGGUGGGACGCUUAUUGGGCCUAAAGCAUCCGUAGCCGGCUGGGCAAGUCCUCCGUUAAAUCCAACGAUUCAAUCGUUGGGCUGCGGGGGAUACUGUCCAGCUUGGGGGCGGGAGAGGCCGACGGUAUUCCCGGGGUAGGGGUGAAAUCCUAUAAUCCCGGGAGGACCACCAGUGGCGAAGGCUGUCGGCUAGAACGCGCCCGACGGUGACGGGAUGAAAGCUGGGGGAGCGAACCGGAUUAGGAUA